GACAGAGGGUGCAAACGUUGUUCGGAAUUACUGGGCGUAAAGCGCGUGUAGGCGGCCCUGCAAGUCGGAUGUGAAAUCCCACGGCUCAACCGUGGAAGUGCAUUCGAAACUGCAGGGCUAGAGUCCUGGAGAGGAAGGUGGAAUGCUUGGUGUAGAGGUGAAAUUCGUAGAUAUCAAGCGGAACACCAAUGGCGAAGGCAGCUCGCUGGGACGGUACUGACGCUGAGACGCGAAAGCGUGGGGAGCAAACAGG
Molecule: ribosomal RNA, 253 nt
Filed under: uncultured bacterium
Lineage: Bacteria
Description: partial 16S ribosomal RNA
Rfam family: Bacterial small subunit ribosomal RNA
Source: RNAcentral